Pecten maximus is the source of this 866-nucleotide RNA transcript. RefSeq lists it as uncharacterized. The record is from RefSeq and is a predicted model, not a curated record. The transcript is spliced from 3 exons. Lineage: Eukaryota; Metazoa; Mollusca; Bivalvia; Pectinida; Pectinidae.
AAUUAAAUAUUCAUGUAGCUCUCUCACAUAGACCACAUUUUAUAUUUCAUUAGGUGACUCUUAAAUAUCACCAUAAAAUUGUCGCCGUACAAAGUGUGAAUAACUUUAUAAUUAUUGCAUAAAUAUGUUAACCUACUGACGUAUACAUCGAUCUUCGACUGAAUUCAUUGUCACUCUGGUUUAUAAAUAUAUCGGCAGAUAGCAGUUUAACUGUAGUUGGUCAGGCGACACGACAAAGGAAACAGUACAAUCAAGAUGUUGCGGGUGAUUGGCCUUUUACCAUUGCUAGUCGUUCUGACUGCAUGCCAGCCAAUUUACAAUCGGAUGGUGAAUCCAUAUAGGAUGGGCCAUCCAUUGGCAGGCCGCGCCCACUGGGGCUCACCUAUAAACAACAACCCUUGGGUAAAUAGUCAGCUCAUAAGUGACAUGGAAGAAAGAAACCAGCAGAUACAGAGUGAUCUACAGGGGCAUAUUGACCAGGUAAUGAGUGACCGACAGUCACAAAGAGACCAAUUCCUCAGCGACAUUAGAGGAAGUAAUAAUAGAUGGUCCUUGUGGUAGAGAAGCUACCGAGUGAUUCGGAGACACUACAUCAUCUAAAAUAGUAAAGCCACUGUUGUUUGUCGUAAUGUAUAUGCUACUCUAUAUUUACUAGAAUUUAUAUAGUACACAACUAGCUUUUGAAAUAUUGUGAUCUUUAUAUCGCUAGUGACUUUGAUAAUCUGCUACAAUCCUCGUGUACAGUUCUUUUCCAUCUCGUACCAAGAUGUAUAGCUUCCUAAGCGUCCACAACAGUAAUAUCGCACCAGAUGAACAAUUGUCUCGUACAGUUUGGUAUAUGAUAAUAAACAGUCGGUUAUUACAUU